CCCACCACUCACACACCAUCUAUAUUCUAUGUCCCUGGAUCACAGACGAUGUGCAGCUGUUGGUCUGUAACUCGCCGAUGGACGUCGAGCUGACUCAAAGUGGAGGUGCAGAAGAUCCUGAAAGGAGAACAUUUCAAAGCUGAAGCUCAACAACACUGUCAGGCUGUUGGAGUGAAAUACAGAGAUUGACCAAAAUACCUGUUUGGAGGGCCGAGUUACCUACACAUCGUUUUUGGAAUGUGCUUCCAAGAAGUUCAGCAUCCCAACCUUAGACGACACAAAGACGAGGUCUUUGAUUUCCUUCUGAAAAAACUAAACCUAGGUGUGCUCGAGAUUUGUCUUGCACGAGGUCCAAAUCCAGAUGCUAAGUUUGUUAGUGUCAUUAAUUUUUUUCAGCUCUACAUAGAAAAGUCUUGUGGCAUGUCGUCCAGUUUGAUCCUGCCGCCACCACCUCAUGAGACCAGGAAAGCUCUCUGCCAGUGAAGUUCAUCAAGACGGGGACCAGCAUCCUGAUGGAAUCGCAGACAGCCAUACCUGCUUGCAGUGGGAACGUGAUUCACUGUCAAUUAUGCAUUUAUUUGAAAUGUUGUUUCAUUUGUAUCUUAU
Molecule: long non-coding RNA, 606 nt
Organism: Pseudoliparis swirei
Lineage: Eukaryota; Metazoa; Chordata; Actinopteri; Perciformes; Liparidae
Exons: 5
Source: RefSeq, a predicted model, not a curated record